GCUGGGUGUGGUGGCUCACGCCUGUAAUCCCAGCAUUUUGGGAGGCCGAGGUGGGUGGAUCAUCUGAGGUCAGGAGUUCAAGACCAGCCUGGCCAACAUGAUGAGACCCCAUCUCUA
RNAcentral lists this signal recognition particle RNA (117 nucleotides) under Nomascus leucogenys (northern white-cheeked gibbon). RNAcentral's name for it is "Metazoan signal recognition particle RNA". It matches the Rfam family "Metazoan signal recognition particle RNA". Rfam says of the family: The signal recognition particle (SRP) is a universally conserved ribonucleoprotein. It is involved in the co-translational targeting of proteins to membranes. The record is from Rfam by way of RNAcentral. Lineage: Eukaryota; Metazoa; Chordata; Mammalia; Primates; Hylobatidae.